This is a long non-coding RNA of Branchiostoma floridae (Florida lancelet), 293 nucleotides long. RefSeq lists it as uncharacterized. The transcript is spliced from 3 exons. The record is from RefSeq and is a predicted model, not a curated record. Lineage: Eukaryota; Metazoa; Chordata; Leptocardii; Amphioxiformes; Branchiostomatidae.
CGCAAGAGCCGGAGACCGGUCUGGACGUACUCAGAUCAAAGGCUGCUGAACUGCUACAGGAGGAAACACCUCAACAAGCAUGGCUGAUCCUUACUGUCCUGGAGAAAAUGUUGAGGGAUGUUGUGGACAACUCCAGGGAUGAGACGUCACGCCAUGUUCGCCAUCUUCUUCCGCCAAGCGCCCUGAGUCUUCUCGUGGCUGCAGGGUGUGUCCAGGUGGAGAAUAUGAUCAUCUUCCCGACAGAGAUGGAAUUGCUGCAUGAAGCUCUGGAGGUCGUUGUGGAAUCUCACAGG